Long non-coding RNA from Carica papaya (papaya), 1991 nucleotides. RefSeq lists it as uncharacterized. NCBI's taxonomy places the organism in Eukaryota, Viridiplantae, Streptophyta, Magnoliopsida, Brassicales, Caricaceae. The record is from RefSeq and is a predicted model, not a curated record.
AUCGGGUCAGGGUAUUUUGUGGAACUUGUUUGUGUUUUGAGAGUUAGGGUUUAUAAAUUCAUCGUUAGCCACCGGAGAUCCAACCAGCCGCUUCUGAGCUGUGGAAUGGAUUGAGGGAAGUCUGCAUAGAAUCUUAGCAGAGAGAUGGAUGCUAUUAAACCCGGUGAGAAACAGCUAGAGAAAGAAGAUGACGACGACGAUGAAGAUGAAGGAACCAUCAUGCAUCAUGAACUCCUUUCGUCGAAUCAGUAAUUAACCAAGAAAUAAAGAGUGGGAAAAAGCACCAUAGUGAAAGCUUUAUAUUUCGGAAGAUUUGAUCUUGUUGAGGUUCCGAUGCUGAAAGUAGACCUGAUAAAUUCAUAGACCAGACGCUCGUGCAUCAUGAUGACUCAGAUAUACCAGUCGUCAAAUUCAAAUUAUGCAGAGGAAGAGCACACAUCAUUUUAAAGACUGAAUGGAUUGAUUUUGCUUUGAAGCAUAAUGUUCAAGAUCUUGUUAGUGAAGCUCUUUUUUCUAAACCAAGUGGGUCUGGCUCCUGUAUCUUUUCCUCCAGAACAUUGAAAAGAUUUACUUUCUUGCUAGGCUUCUAUAUUCUCAGAUGCUCCAGAUCCAUUUAGCUUCCCAGUCUUCAAGAAGUGCCUCUUGGAGGUGUCAUUUUCACUGAUGGCUGUCUGACAGAGGAAUUAUUCUCAUCAUGUCAGGUGCUGGAAUCUGUGCAUUUGUGGAAUUGUGACCUGUCUUGUCUAAAGGUUCUAAAUGUUUCUGCUCUCAGACUCAAGACUAUCGUCGCGGGCUCCAAAACCACUGUGAUUAAUCUUCUAAACAAGUCUUGUAUCACUUAUUGAGGGGAAAUCUUGCACGAAAUUGUCAAAUUAAGGGUGGUGCUUCUAUUCGUUAUGCAGAUAUUCAAGCUAGAGAGUUCUAUAGAAACCAAAUGAGUACAGAUGUUUUUGGUUGCACUGCGUUUAAGUUGCUGAGUGAACUUUGAAAUGUCACUGUACUAAUUGUGGAUAAUUUGUUCUUAGAGCUUCUCUUCUACAAGGCAAGUAAUUCAUGGACAUAUGCAAAUGCAAUCACUUUUCACAAGCUGAGUAUUGUCUAUCUGUCUGUCUGGCCAUCCAAGAAACGUAUCUUGAUGAAUUAUAAUCUUCCUCAGUAGAAUGCCGAAUGUACUUAUCGCUGACUUUCCUCAUGCUUGCACAAGGACAGCCUUCAUAUGCGUCUGUCUUGGCAUGGAAUUCAGAACACCUUGAGACUGUUGGGAUGCCAAAUUUUCUGGAAUAUAUUUACAUUACCUUGUUUGUUGGACAAGAAAUUGAUUUUUGCCUCGUGAAAGCUUUCCUUGGGAAUGCAAAAGCAUAGUGAAGUUGACCAUCUUUACCCGUUGGAAUGGUACUGAAGCUGAUGAUGGAAAGAAGUCUAAGAUUAUUGAGAAGUUAUGGCAUUUCCAAGAGCUUCAACAAAAGCAGAAUUACUUCUCUUGUAAUUUAAAUAUAUUUUCUUAAAGAGGAAAAAUUCAAUAAAUUGCUGAAAAUGGUUCCAGUGUGGAGAAUGAAGAGAAUUAGUGUUUGACAUUGACAAAUAACAGUUGAACUCUUACUUUGAGAGACUUACAUCAAGGAGGCUAUCACAGUCCCUUGAAGAAAACCAAGGAAAAGAAGGGACUAACUUGAUAGGCUAAUGAUAGUUUAGCUUCUUUUUUUAAACUAAAGGCAAAGUUGAUAGUUCCAGUUCUAUGAUAUAGUUGUCUAUAUGUAUUAUAUGUACAGAGAAGAAAGUGGGUAGAAACACUGGGGACUCAGGAAGGUAAAAAACUUAUCUGCAGAUAGGAGUUUGGAGAAGGAGAUGUGUAGUUUUUUUUCCUUGUGUUAAUCUCCUUUUGGAUGUAGGGGAAUGGAAAUGUCAAAACUUUUGGAAUUCAACUCCCUCUUUGAAAGACUUUCUCUAGUUGAAAUGAAUUGAUAUUACAGGUCAUGAUUGAAGUAUGCAAA